GAUGAACGCUGGCGGCGCCUAAUACAUGCAAGUCGAGCGAACAGACGAGGAGCUUGCUCCUCUGACGUUAGCGGCGGACGGGUGAGUAACACGUGGAUAACCUACCUAUAAGACUGGGAUAACUUCGGGAAACCGGAGCUAAUACCGGAUAAUAUAUUAAACCGCAUGGUUCAAUAGUGAAAGACGGUUUUGCUGUCACUUAUAGAUGGAUCCGCGCCGCAUUAGCUAGUUGGUAAGGUAACGGCUUACCAAGGCAACGAUGCGUAGCCGACCUGAGAGGGUGAUCGGCCACACUGGAACUGAGACACGGUCCAGACUCCUACGGGAGGCAGCAGUAGGGAAUCUUCCGCAAUGGGCGAAAGCUUGACGGAGCAACGCCGCGUGAGUGAUGAAGGUCUUCGGAUCGUAAAACUCUGUUAUUAGGGAAGAACAAAUGUGUAAGUAACUAUGCACGUCUUGACGGUACCUAAUCAGAAAGCCACGGCUAACUACGUG
RNAcentral lists this ribosomal RNA (495 nucleotides) under uncultured bacterium. RNAcentral's name for it is "partial 16S ribosomal RNA". It matches the Rfam family "Bacterial small subunit ribosomal RNA", at positions 28 to 507 of the family's 1533-position model. The record is from RNAcentral.